RNAcentral lists this ribosomal RNA (551 nucleotides) under uncultured bacterium. RNAcentral's name for it is "bacterial SSU rRNA". It matches the Rfam family "Bacterial small subunit ribosomal RNA", at positions 356 to 909 of the family's 1533-position model. The record is from RNAcentral.
GAGGAAUAUUGGACAAUGGGCGCAAGCCUGAUCCAGCCAUGCCGCGUGCAGGAUGACGGUCCUAUGGAUUGUAAACUGCUUUUAUACAGGAAGAAACACUACCUCGUGAAGUAGCUUGACGGUACUGUAAGAAUAAGGAUCGGCUAACUCCGUGCCAGCAGCCGCGGUAAUACGGAGGAUCCAAGCGUUAUCCGGAAUCAUUGGGUUUAAAGGGUCCGUAGGCGGUCAGAUAAGUCAGUGGUGAAAGCCCAUCGCUCAACGGUGGAACGGCCAUUGAUACUGUCUGACUUGAAUUAUUAGGAAGUAACUAGAAUAUGUAGUGUAGCGGUGAAAUGCUUAGAGAUUACAUGGAAUACCAAUUGCGAAGGCAGGUUACUACUAAUUGAUUGACGCUGAUGGACGAAAGCGUGGGUAGCGAACAGGAUUAGAUACCCUGGUAGUCCACGCCGUAAACGAUGGAUACUAGCUGUUGGGAGCAAUCUCAGUGGCUAAGCGAAAGUGAUAAGUAUCCCACCUGGGGAGUACGUUCGCAAGAAUGAAACUCAAAGGAA